UUAAUUUUUUUUGCUAUACAUAUGUUCAAUUAAGUUUUUAUUCAAGGAUCGAAUUCUAAAAUACAUUCUAGCUCUGAAAAACAAUUAUUUUACUUUUGAGCUACAGUUUACAAAAUUACUUAAAUCUAAGUGCUUCUGGACGUAAUUUGUACAUAUGUAUGUCAAAUAGUGCUUGCAAGGCUCUCAUAUGCUCCAUAAACAUAUCUGUUGGUUUUGAGAGUCCUCCUUCAGAAAGGUCAUAUUUGACGUCAAAUGCUGUCAAAAUAAUGAAAACGGGUUGUCAUAUGGUGUCAGUUGCGUUUGCCGGCAUAUUUGCCAACGAACGGCAAUUUAAAUUGACAGCGAAAUGAAAACAAUCAAAAUACGUUAUGUGGCAAUAUUUGACAUCAAAAUUAGAUUUGUCAACAUGUUGGCAAAUUAUUUCAAUUUGCCGCGCGAAUGAUAUCCAAAAAUAAAUAAAAAAGAUUUUUCACUUUUCAACUUUCAAAAUGGCAGAAGAAAUGGGUGCAAAUACAGAAAUGUUAAUUCCAAGCAUCAAGCGGGUGCGAAAAAUGAAAACAAAGUGGACAGCGGAGGAGACUGAGCUGAACUAAUUCAAGAAGUGGAGUCAAGGGAAGGAACCUGGAAUUUCCUUUCCGCGGAUUAUCGCGAUAGGAAUUCGCGUGAGGCUCAGUGGCAUGAAGUGGCAGAAACACUAAAUAUGCCACGAGCCGAAGUAUCAGCCUAGUGGAACAGCCUUC
Molecule: long non-coding RNA, 740 nt
Organism: Bactrocera latifrons
Lineage: Eukaryota; Metazoa; Arthropoda; Insecta; Diptera; Tephritidae
Exons: 3
Source: RefSeq, a predicted model, not a curated record